This 69-nucleotide transfer RNA is filed under the name Gammaproteobacteria bacterium. RNAcentral's name for it is "tRNA-Met". It matches the Rfam family "tRNA". Rfam says of the family: Transfer RNA (tRNA) molecules are approximately 80 nucleotides in length. Their secondary structure includes four short double-helical elements and three loops (D, anti-codon, and T loops). Lineage: Bacteria; Pseudomonadati; Pseudomonadota; Gammaproteobacteria. The record is from RNAcentral.
GCUGUUUUAGCUCAGAAGGGUAGAGCGACGAGCAUCUCGUUGUCGAAGGUUCGAUUCCUUCAUUCAGCA